RNAcentral lists this ribosomal RNA (443 nucleotides) under uncultured bacterium. RNAcentral's name for it is "partial 16S ribosomal RNA". It matches the Rfam family "Bacterial small subunit ribosomal RNA", at positions 338 to 795 of the family's 1533-position model. The record is from RNAcentral.
CCUACGGGCGGCAGCAGUGGGGAAUAUUGGGCAAUGGGCGAAAGCCUGACCCAGCAACGCCGCGUGAAGGAAGAAGGCUUUCGGGUUGUAAACUUCUUUUCUGAGGGACGAAGAAAGUGACGGUACCUCAGGAAUAAGCCACGGCUAACUACGUGCAAGCAGCCGCGGUAAUACGUAGGUGGCAAGCGUUAUCCGGAUUUAUUGGGUGUACAGGGCGUGUAGGCGGGAAAGUAAGUCAGAUGUGAAAUCUCAGGGCUCAACCCUGGGCGUGAAUUGGAAACUGUGUUGCUUGAGUGCUGGAGAGGCAAGCGGAAUUCCGUGUGUAGCGGUGAAAUGCGUAGAUAUACGGAGGAACACCAGUGGCGAAGGCGGAUUGCUGGACAGUAACUGACGCUGAGGCGCGAAAGCGUGGGGAGCAAACAGGAUUAGAUACCCGGGUAGUC